UGAGGAAUAUUGGGCAAUGCCCGCAAGGGUGACCCAGCAACGCCGCGUGGAGGAUGAAUGUCGUAAGAUUGUAAACUCCUGUUAGAGGGGAAGAAUAGUACCGGUUGGACCGGUAUAUGACUGUACCCUCAGAGAAAGCCCCGGCUAACUACGUGCCAGCAGCCGCGGUAAUACGUAGGGGGCAAGCGUCGUCCGGAUUUACUGGGUGUAAAGGGCGCGCAGGCGGGAUAAAAAGUCAGUGGUGAAAUCCUACAGCUUAACUGUAGAACUGCCUUUGAUACUUGUAUUCUUGAGUUCGGGAGAGAGAGACGGAAUUCCAGGUGUAGUGGUGAAAUACGUAGAUAUCUGGAAGAACACCAGUUGCGAAGGCGGUCUCUUGGUCCGACACUGACGCUGAGGCGCGAAAGCGUGGGGAGCAAACA
This 422-nucleotide ribosomal RNA is filed under the name uncultured bacterium. Its description in RNAcentral is "bacterial SSU rRNA". It matches the Rfam family "Bacterial small subunit ribosomal RNA", at positions 355 to 774 of the family's 1533-position model. The record is from RNAcentral.